Molecule: long non-coding RNA, 4172 nt
Organism: Oncorhynchus tshawytscha (Chinook salmon)
Lineage: Eukaryota; Metazoa; Chordata; Actinopteri; Salmoniformes; Salmonidae
Source: Ensembl
GUUGGACGGAGGGAGGGAGACGGGAGCUGGGGAUGAGGGGAGAGGGGGAGUAGAGUUGGAUGGAGGGAGGGAGACGGGAGCUGGGGAAGAGGGGAGAGGGGGAGUAGAGUCUGGAGGAGUGAAGGAGAUGGAGGCAGGGGAUGAGACUCUACUAGACACUACUCCACUGGCUCCACUCCAGAUCACCUGCCUAGAGAAGCAGGUGGUGAUGCUGCAGGCUGAACUGCACUCUCUCUCUGAGGAGAACCAGAGGCAGGCUGAGGAGCUGACAGUGUGGAGGCUAAUGGCCCAGCCCCUCUGUCUAGACCCAGAGGACCUCACCUCUGCUACCCUCAGCCCUGGCCACACCACUGCUACCCUCAGCCCUGGCCACACCACUGCUACCCUCAGCCCUGGCCACACCACUGCUACCCUCAGCCCUGGACACAACACUGCAGCCCUGGCCACAACACUGCUACCCUCAGCCCUGGCCACAACACUGCUACCCUCAGCCCUGGACACAACACUGCUACCCUCAGCCCUGGCCACAACACUGCUACCCUCAGCCCUGGCCACAACACUGCUACCCUCAGCCCUGGCCACAACACUGCUACCCUCAGCCCUGGCCACAACACUGCUACCCUCAGCCCUGGCCACAACACUGCUACCCUCAGCCCUGGACACAACACUGCUACCCUCAGCCCUGGCCACAACACUGCUACCCUCAGCCCUGGCCAACACAGCAGUGUGAUGGUGAUCAGAGAGGAUGAGCUGCUUCUCUCCUGUACCUCCAGUAGACUGUAUGGGAGGACCCUGGCCUCAAGACUGCAUCACUGCAAUUCUCCUGAAGCAAAGAGUCUCCAAAACCCAUCCAGAAAGAACAAAUCUACACAUCCCCAAGAGACGGAAAAACAGACCAAUGAACAUGGGGAAGAUGGUGAAGAAGCAGACAUCACCAAAGAUGUUUACCAAAUCUCAGAGCUCCAGACCAAGGCAACAGAGCACACUAACCAAGAUGAUUCAGAAAACAAGACCAAUCCAAACACUCCCAGAGCAACAGAUCAGCACAAUCUAGACGUCAUAGAACUAGAUAACAAAGAGUUCCCCACUCUGUCUCUCGCUGAGGCUCAAUCCACUGAAGCACAGUUCUCUGAAACCAACCAUUCCAGUCACCAUCAAGAGGUACCAAUCUCCACUGGUGUUGAGAAUAAAAGUCACUCCUCGGUCCGUAGAACAGUCACCACUACAUCAGAGUGGCGAACUGAGAGAACGAUGGUGGAGACCAAGGUUCUGAGUUCAAAGGUCAUACCAGCAGGAUGGACAGGUCAAGAGAGAUUGAGCUCUGUAGAGGUGAGUAGUACCAGCUCUCAGACAGAGGGGAGAGAAACAGGCGCCCUACCAGAAACACACCACGUAUACACACAGACGGAGGAGGAGAAUGAUGAAGAACCCACAGAAUCACCCCCUGUGUCACCAGUCCAGAUGUCUGAGGCCAAGGGGGACAGGAUGUUGUUUUCUGGGUCCUUCCCGAUCCCUGCCGACCCAGCCCGUCUUGCGGAGCGGAUCCGUCGUAACCGGACUCAGAUGUCUGCAGCGUACGAUGAUACGGAAUACGAACCCUACGGCCUGCCUGAGGUGGUCAUGAAAGGUUUUGCUGACAUUCCCAGUGGUCUAGGCUGUCCGUACAUUGUGAGGAGGGGGCUCCUGGGUACUGCUGCUAUGCCCCGCCCCCAGAGAGAUCCCGGCCAGGGGGAGGGGGGGCAGGAGGACCCUGAUUAACCCCCAACAGAGUGUUUGUACAGAUCCACUGGAAGACCGUCAGAGGAGUUAAUUUCACUGGACCUGCUGUGUACUGACCCCCACCUCCUGCCCUGAUGUACUGACCCGAAUAAAACCUGUUUCAUCUCUUGUGUACUGAAACACCUGAAGAGGGACAUCUGUCCCCUGCUGACGUUUAAGACAAGACCUUUCAUUGAGUUAUACAGAGGUCCAUUGGUUUCUAUGCACCUACUACAGUACUGUUCUUUACAAAUCUACUGGUUCAGAUUUCCUUGUUGUGGUUCAAAUGAGAAAUGGUGCCUUGUUUUUAUUUAAUUUGUAUAAGCUACUUUAGGCCAUGGUCCAUUGCCUGUUGUGAAAACUUGAAUUUUCAUUUGAAUAGUCUUAUUUAUAGACUGUUGAAUGUUUUAGUGUGUGUGUUCAUGUUGGUUUUUAUAAGCAGUGGGUGUACAUUUGAGGGAGCGUGUGUCGGUUUGUACAAAACUGUCCACGGAUGAGUACGUACUGCAUGUGUAGGAUGAUGUCUGGUCGUUAUGUUUUCUCAAUAUUAGCCUGUGCCUGUGUAUGACUCAACCUAACCUGAGCGUGUUUCCUCUCCUUGUAUGGUGAUCCACUGGGAGCGCUCCUUCUCUUCCCCUCCCUCGUCCCCUCUUUCUGUUCUUUCCCUAUUCAUUUCUCUCUUUCUUUACACUCAAACCUUUUUCAAAAUGACACCCUCUGUGCUCUUGAAUUUACACAAGUGCUAAACACAUGAGUGAGGUAGUUUAUUUUUAUUUUUUUAGAUACACUAUUUAAAUUGUGCAGGUUUUAGUCUGCUUUUUUGGACUAUUUUAGUUUUUCCUAGAUUUAAUAUAUUACAUUUUUGGGGGGAUAGAUUUUUCGUGCACGUUAGUGAUUGUGCCAUAGUUUUCUAGAUUUUCAGUUGCAUCUAUAAACUGCCCUGGUUUGAAACAAUAUUCACUUAAGAGAUUGUAUAUCAAAUGAAUUUAUAGCAUCUUAAAUGUAAUCUUGGUACUGCCACCAAGAUUGUGCUUUGAGGAAGUGUGUGCGCUUGUAUACAAAACAUUAAGAACUCUUUCCAUGACAGACUGACCAGGUGACUACAGGUGAAAGCUAUGAUCCAUUAUUGAUGUCUCUUGUUAUAUCCACUUCAAUCAGCGUAGACGAAGGGGAGGAGAAGGUUGAAGAAGGAUUUCUGGUAGAGCAUGGCACUUGCAACGCCAGGUUUGUGGGUUCGAUUCCCACGUGGGACCAGUACAAACGAAAUAUGAAAAUGUAUGCACUCACCACUACAUGUCGCUCUGGAUAAAAGCAUCUGCUAAAUGACUCAAAUGUAAACGUGUGUGUGUGUGUGUGUGUGUGUGCCAUUCAGAGGGUGAAUGGGCAAGAUAACAUAUUUAAGUGCCUUUGAACAGGGUAUGGUAAUAGGUGCCAGACUCACCGGUUUGUGUCAAGAACUGCGACACUGCUGGGUUUUUCACACUCAACAGUUUUUCCGUGUGUAUCAAGAAUGGUCCACCACCCAAAGGACAUCCAGACAACUUGACACAACUGUGGGAAGCAACUGCCCCAAUGAAGUGAGGCUGUUCUGAGGUCAAAGGGGAGUGCAACUCAAUAUUAGGAAGGGUUCUUAAUGUUUUGUACACUGUGUUUUGUUAACGAAACCUUCCUCCAUUCCAAAUCUGCUCCGACCUUCUUUCAGAGCUGAGGUUUAUUACAGCGUUACUGCAUGGUACUAAGAUGAAUGUGAGUUGUUAUUGGUUUUGUUGUGGUCUAAAAAAAUCUCUCAAAACACCUAUUUGUUUUUAACACACAACUAAAUAAGUUAACAGCCAUUGGAUCUGAUAGAAAUGACAGGUUUAAUACAUUGUGGAGUGAUUUUAACUUGAUAUACAUAGUUAGCUACACUUGCUUUCUGUCACUACUGACAUGAUGCAUGUAGCCACUAGCAACAACCAUGUCUUCUCUAGAUUCUAGAAGCCUGGCGUGUGUUCUAGAACACGUAUGGGCUGUUACAGUACCAUUCACUAGCCUUCUGAACACACCCCUAGCUGAGUUAUCUGUGGGAUCUCUGGGUGGUGGGACUAGUCCAAGGAGUCCAGCAGAACACACUGGAUUCUUUCCCCUGUAUGUGACACUUUUAUGUGAAUGUAUCACUGUUGAUGCUUUGUGUCGCUGUUGAAGAAGAUAGAUUAAAAAGGUUGAUCUAAAUUUAUCUUGUCAAUUUCUCUUUCCACCUCCUAAGGUCUGUGUGUCAGUUGUUUGUUUCUGUCUUGUCUAUGCUAGCUCUAUUUGGUAGUUGUAUUUCUUUCCAUCUCUCUUUAUUCUCUCUAGGUUAGAGUCACAUUCCAAAUAACGCCCUCUAGUUUAGAGGUCACUAAUGAGGUACCCAGUAAGGCAACUGGCAAGACAUC